AGUGAACGCUGGCGGCAGGCCUAACACAUGCAAGUCGAACGGCAGCACAAGAGAGCUUGCUCUCUGGGUGGCGAGUGGCGGACGGGUGAGGAAUGCAUCGGAAUCUGCCCAUUUGUGGGGGAUAACCUCGGGAAACCGGGACUAAUACCGCAUACGACCUACGGGUGAAAGCCGGGGAUCUUCGGACCUUGCGCAGAUGGAUGAGCCGAUGCCGGAUUAGCUAGUUGGAGGGGUAAAGGCCCACCAAGGCGACGAUCCGUAGCUGGUCUGAGAGGAUGAUCAGCCACACUGGGACUGAGACACGGCCCAGACUCCUACGGGAGGCAGCAGUGGGGAAUAUUGGACAAUGGGCGCAAGCCUGGUCCAGCCAUGCCGCGUGUGUGAAGAAGGCCUUCGGGUUGUAAAGCACUUUUGUUGGGAAAGAAAAGCAGCCGGUUAAUACCCGGUUGUCAUGACGGUACCCAAAGAAUAAGCACCGGCUAACUUCGUG
Molecule: ribosomal RNA, 490 nt
Filed under: uncultured bacterium
Lineage: Bacteria
Description: partial 16S ribosomal RNA
Rfam family: Bacterial small subunit ribosomal RNA
Source: RNAcentral